Molecule: ribosomal RNA, 301 nt
Filed under: uncultured bacterium
Lineage: Bacteria
Description: partial 16S ribosomal RNA
Rfam family: Bacterial small subunit ribosomal RNA
Source: RNAcentral
CAGCAGCCACGGUAAUACGUAGGUGGCAAGCGUUGUCCGGAAUUAUUGGGCGUAAAGGGCUCGCAGGCGGUUUCUUAAGUCUGAUGUGAAAGCCCCCGGCUCAACCGGAGAGGGUCAUUGGAAACUGGGAAACUUGAGUGCAGAAGAGGAGAGUGGAAUUCCACGUGUAGCGGUGAAAUGCGUAGAGAUGUGGAGGAACACCAGUGGCGAAGGCGACUCUCUGGUCUGUAACUGACGCUGAGGAGCGAAAGCGUGGGGAGCGAACAGGAUUAGAUACCCCUGUAGUCCCUGUCUCUUAUAC